This 504-nucleotide ribosomal RNA is filed under the name uncultured bacterium. RNAcentral's name for it is "partial 16S ribosomal RNA". It matches the Rfam family "Bacterial small subunit ribosomal RNA", at positions 28 to 523 of the family's 1533-position model. The record is from RNAcentral.
GAUGAACGCUAGCUACAGGCUUAACACAUGCAAGUCGAGGGGCAGCAUGACGAUAGCUUGCUAUUGUUGAUGGCGACCGGCGCACGGGUGAGUAACGCGUAUCCAACCUGCCCUUGUCCACCGGAUAACCCGUCGAAAGGCGGACUAACACGGUAUGCAGUCCACAGCAGACAUCUAACGUGGACGAAAUGUGAAGGAGAAGGAUGGGGAUGCGUCUGAUUAGCUUGUUGGCGGGGUAACGGCCCACCAAGGCGACGAUCAGUAGGGGUUCUGGGAGGAAGGUCCCCCACAUUGGAACUGAGACACGGUCCAAACUCCGACGGGAGGCAGCAGUGAGGAAUAUUGGUCAAUGGGCGAGAGCCUGAACCAGCCAAGUAGCGUGCAGGAAGACGGCCCUAUGGGUUGUAAACUGCUUUUAUACGGGGAUAAAGUGAGUCACGUGUGGCUUAUUGCGGGUACCGUAUGAAUAAGGACCGGCUAAUUCCGUGCCAGCAGCCGCCGUAA